UGGGGAAUUUUGGACAAUGGGGCAACCUGAUCCAGCAAUGCCGCGUGUGUGAAGAAGGCCUUCGGGUUGUAAAGCACCUUUGUCCGGAAAGAAAACGCCGUGGUUAAUACCCGUGGCGGAUGACGGUACCGGAAGAAUAAGCACCGGCUAACUACGUGCCAGCAGCCGCGGUAAUACGUAGGGUGCAAGCGUUAAUCGGAAUUACUGGGCGUAAAGCGUGCGCAGGCGGUCCGCUAAGACAGAUGUGAAAUCCCCGGGCUUAACCUGGGAACUGCAUUUGUGACUGGCGGGCUAGAGUAUGGCAGAGGGGGGUAGAAUUCCACGUGUAGCAGUGAAAUGCGUAGAGAUGUGGAGGAAUACCGAUGGCGAAGGCAGCCCCCUGGGCCAAUACUGACGCUCAUGCACGAAAGCGUGGGGGAGCAAACAGGAUUAGAUACCCUGGUAGUCCACGCCCUAAACGAUG
This 463-nucleotide ribosomal RNA is filed under the name uncultured bacterium. RNAcentral's name for it is "partial 16S ribosomal RNA". It matches the Rfam family "Bacterial small subunit ribosomal RNA", at positions 355 to 811 of the family's 1533-position model. The record is from RNAcentral.